Molecule: long non-coding RNA, 237 nt
Filed under: Parus major (Great Tit)
Lineage: Eukaryota; Metazoa; Chordata; Aves; Passeriformes; Paridae
Description: lncRNA (ENSPMJG00000015924.1)
Source: RNAcentral
UUUUUAUCGAUAUAUAUAAAUUUCCAAACUCUGAUGUUCAUCCUGUCGUUUGGUUGCAGCCUUGCUAAUAAGCAAGAUGGGUCCCUGUCCAUGGUGUAUCGCAAAAAUCAGAUCUCUGAGACUUUGAAAGGAAGGGGUUUUGAUCUUGAAAUUAUCUGCUGCUUCCUGACUUCGAUCCAGGUAUGGGCUCUUACGUCAACUGUUGGUGCAUCCAGUUAUGUGGGAUACAAAUACUGA